This 427-nucleotide ribosomal RNA is filed under the name uncultured bacterium. Its description in RNAcentral is "partial 16S ribosomal RNA". It matches the Rfam family "Bacterial small subunit ribosomal RNA", at positions 355 to 774 of the family's 1533-position model. The record is from RNAcentral.
UGGGGAAUAUUGCACAAUGGGCGCAAGCCUGAUGCAGCCAUGCCGCGUGUAUGAAGAAGGCCUUCGGGUUGUAAAGUACUUUCAGCGAGGAGGAAGGUGUUGUGGUUAAUAACCGCAGCAAUUGACGUUACUCGCAGAAGAAGCACCGGCUAACUCCGUGCCAGCAGCCGCGGUAAUACGGAGGGUGCAAGCGUUAAUCGGAAUUACUGGGCGUAAAGCGCACGCAGGCGGUCUGUCAAGUCGGAUGUGAAAUCCCCGGGCUCAACCUGGGAACUGCAUCCGAAACUGGCAGGCUAGAGUCUUGUAGAGGGGGGUAGAAUUCCAGGUGUAGCGGUGAAAUGCGUAGAGAUCUGGAGGAAUACCGGUGGCGAAGGCGGCCCCCUGGACAUAGACUGACGCUCAGGUGCGAAAGCGUGGGGAGCAAACA